GGGGUUGUAGCUCAGUGGUAGAGCACUCACCUAGCAUGUGUGAGGCACUGGGUUGGAUCCUCAGCACCA
RNAcentral lists this transfer RNA (69 nucleotides) under Ictidomys tridecemlineatus (thirteen-lined ground squirrel). RNAcentral's name for it is "Spermophilus tridecemlineatus (thirteen-lined ground squirrel) tRNA". It matches the Rfam family "tRNA". From Rfam's summary of the family: Transfer RNA (tRNA) molecules are approximately 80 nucleotides in length. Their secondary structure includes four short double-helical elements and three loops (D, anti-codon, and T loops). Lineage: Eukaryota; Metazoa; Chordata; Mammalia; Rodentia; Sciuridae. The record is from Rfam by way of RNAcentral.